AGAUGAUAAUGAUGAUGAUGAUGAUAAUGAUGAUGAUGAUGGAUCUCUCUUCCUCUUUUAUCAUCCCAUCAUUGUUGAUGUGUGUUAUCAUCAUUAUCAUCAUCAUGAUCUAUC
Molecule: microRNA precursor, 114 nt
Filed under: Bigelowiella natans CCMP2755
Lineage: Eukaryota; Cercozoa; Chlorarachniophyceae
Description: miRNA EPrBNAG00000013504
Source: RNAcentral